This is a long non-coding RNA of Pezoporus occidentalis (night parrot), 712 nucleotides long. RefSeq lists it as uncharacterized. Lineage: Eukaryota; Metazoa; Chordata; Aves; Psittaciformes; Psittacidae. The transcript has 3 exons. The record is from RefSeq and is a predicted model, not a curated record.
ACAGCUUGGGUCUCACAGUGCCCAGGCAGGUUUGUGACCUACCUUGAUAUUCAGGCUUCCUACAGAUACAAACCCGAUCAGUGGAAUUACUUGAAGCAGUUCUGCAGACCUGCUUUUAAGAGUCCUCACAAGUCUGUUGCUCAAGCUCUACGUGAUGAAGAUUGUCCUUUGAUGAUCAUUCCAAGCAGGCCUUAGAGCCAUCCAUGGACACUUGGAGUGUGAUUGGGUCAAGCUGAGCUCUUUCUUGCUCUUGAAUCAUUACUGAUAAGAAGUGGUUUACGGUGCAAACUCUUCCUUCCAAAACAUGUGAGCACCCAACCGAACCCAAGCCAACCUGUUGGCAGGAAGGAAAUGCCACGACUGUAGGAAAGCUCCUCUGGGCAGCUGUUGAAGUUCAGGUGGUGCUUGAGCCCAGUUAACCGGGCAGCUUGCUUUUCAGUGCUGCACAUAGUGCUGCCUAUGGAGGGCGGCAGAGGAAUUAAGGGGACAAAAAGCUGGUUUUGUCACUGUGGUCAGCAGGUGCUUUUGAGUAGACAGGCAGAGGUCUCAGAGCUCAAGAGUGUCUGUCACUGACCUAGAAGCUCAUGCAAAUAAGGAACUGCUGUUAUUUUUUUCCAUGCUUUAAAAUAGAGAUUGUGUAAAGCAGGCACAGGCUGUCAAAAAGAGAAAAUAAUGGAUGAAGCGAUAAAGAAUUAAAAAUCUGUAUGAAAAA